This 1526-nucleotide long non-coding RNA is filed under the name Lathyrus oleraceus (garden pea). RNAcentral describes it as "Pisum sativum (pea) long non-coding RNA (PSAT_LNC036910)". Lineage: Eukaryota; Viridiplantae; Streptophyta; Magnoliopsida; Fabales; Fabaceae. The record is from RNAcentral.
UACAUACCAUGUUCAAUUUUUCAUGUCAAAAACCACUACGCUGGAGGCGGGGGAGUUGGCCGAAAUCAAGAAAUAACACCACAUUUUUAUUCCUCUCAACCUCAUCUAUCCUAAUCUCUCAUCACUUCUAAUAAAGAGUUAUUCAAAUUUGAAAGUUAGAGCAUUAAAGCUAAGAACCCUAAGCACAAAAACUGAAAUUAAACAGAGAUGAAGGAUAAUCAAGUCCCUAAAUCUUGGUGCUUCGAUUCUCCAAUGCACAAGCUACAUUGUGGUAUCAAAAAUUUAGCAAACAAGGAAGGAUAAAAAAUCGCCGACUUACAAGACGGAGGAUUGCCUUGGAACUUGUUGUAAUUUGAAGCUGAUGAAGAUGAAGAAAACAAAGGUAUGCUUCUUUGAUCUUCUACUUCUUCUCUUUAGUGAUUUAGCUAUGAAAAUGUUGAAUUGAAUUGUUGUUCUUGACGUUGAUUUUUGUGAAUAUAAGUAGUGUAAAAGGUAGGAGUUUUAGCUCAAUUGAUAACAAGCUUCAAUGUGAAACUUGUUCUAAUGGUGAGAGACAAAGAGCUUUAAUGUAGGUUGGAGAAUUGGAGAAGAUGAACUGAGAGGAGAAAAGUUGAAUUCGCAAUGAGUGAUUUGAGAGUGAUUCUGAUUUUGGUGAUUGCUAGCUUCAAUUUGAUGAGAGUGAUGAGUUUAUAUAGAUGUGAGUUUGAACUAUUUCGGUCAUAUUUUCGGGCAGUGGCGGUUGGAAGUUAGGGCAACCAAUAUUUAGGUGAUUCAAUGAACAAAUUGGUUAGUGAUGUUAACAUUGUUAAAUUUUCUGUUAAAUGUUAAUUGAGACUGUUAUGACAGUUGAGGGAUGUUAGAAUAACUCAAUUGUUGGAUUUUUUAUGACUUGAAGUGUUGUUGAAAGUGAAUUAGUGUAGUGUAAUGUUGUUGCAUAAUUGAGCACAAAUUGCAAGGUGUAUUGGACUUGGUUUGAGAGUGAAAACAAAAUUCUACAAUGCUGAAAAAUGCAGUAUUUUUGCUGCUGUCCCAGGUGUAACCGGUUACCUGAUUUUGCAUAUCCGAUUACACACCUAAAAACUAGUGUAAAAAUUCUGAUCUUUGUCUGUGUAACCGGUUACCUGAUUUUGCGUAACCGGUUACACACUUGAAAACUAGUGUAAAAAUGCUAAUUUUUGCAUGUUUAACUGAUUAUCUGAUUUUGCGUAAUCGAUUACAUGCAUGAAAAAAGUAUUUUUUUUUCUCAUUUUCACUAUUUUGUGGCAUGUUGGGACCGCGACUCAUUGUGUAUGUUUUCUGGUAUGUUUUUGCAGGUCUGACUUGUGAUGUGGUAUUGAUCAACACUCUGUCAUGAUGCAGAAACUUGAAUAUGAGGGGCUGAUGGAGAAACGAAACUAGUAGGGUCUAGUAUGAUCAGUUGACUUUGGUCAACCGUUUGACAAAAAAGUCAACAGUUGACCAAAAGUCAAAUGUGGGUCAAAUGAUGUAAAAAUAUGUAAUUUUGUUUUUUUUUACUCUUUUAUGAC